RNAcentral lists this long non-coding RNA (304 nucleotides) under Nicotiana benthamiana. Its description in RNAcentral is "long non-coding RNA (NBEN_LNC003982)". Lineage: Eukaryota; Viridiplantae; Streptophyta; Magnoliopsida; Solanales; Solanaceae. The record is from RNAcentral.
UAAAACAUUCAUAAAUGGCUUUGCUUUCAGGGUUAUUGAGCUGUUUUACUAUUGCUUCUUCGAGUUUCUCAUGAUUCUAAUAAUGUCAAAUCACAUGCAAAGAGCAAAAAGAAGUCAAUUAGUGGGGGUGCUCCAAUUGUUGUUUCUUAUUUUCCUAUCAACUCACAUCUUUCACGCUUAUGAGAGAUUUUAAGUAAUUUAAUUUAAUUGGAUUUAUGCUUGUCUGAUAUUUUAGCAUAUUGUAGAUUUACGAAUAUUCUUGUAUCAUUCAUGCAUUAUUUGAUAUGAUAAAAUUGCUUUAUUU